GUUUUUCAUCUGAGACACCAAAUGGAGUCAAACUUUUCUGUUUAAAUUCAAAUUUGGCUGGGAAUUGCGGAAAUUCCUUUGGCCAGACCUACUCGGAUUCUGCGCCUUGUUUCGAAUUUGAUAUCGAAACCGAGCCGAACAUGGACGAGCAACACGAAGGCGACCACAGAGCACGACAGGCGUUGUGAAUGGCGCCCGGAGCGCAACGCUGGCGAUGUGAUGAAUCCGACGAGGAGGGACAGCUGCGGUAGCAGCAGCAGUAGCGGUGGCAGAAGGAGCGGCAGCAGCAGCACGUACGAGCGGGACACUGGUGAGAAUGAGAGCGAGCAAUUCGUGAAUAUUUCAUGAACGAACGCGUCACGGAGCGACGAGAAUAACGGUAUUCGGUCGCAAGUGCUAUUCCAAAACGAUGGCAAUGGCGUCCUCGUAAUCGUCGUACUCGUCCUCGGAGAGAAAAAUGUAGGGAAACGCAUCCUGUCGUUGUCGUCGCCGACGUCGCCGUCGUUGCCGCUGUCGUCGUCAUUACCAUCGUCGGCAGAAGGAAAGCCGCCUGGUGCUGGGUCUUCAACCGUUUUGCCACCGCCACCGUCGUCGCUGUUUGCUCCUGGUGCCGCUGUCGUUGUCGUUGCCGUUGCAGUGGCAGUGGCUGUGGCUGUGGCAGCAGCGCCUCUGAAUUUUUGGCCAAUGCGUGUGCUGCUGGCGUUCAGUAAGAAAAGCGUCGCCCAGCGGUCUAGUACGAACGUAUACCGAACGCUUUGUGUUCUUCCUGUUCUUUGGGUUCCACCUCCGUAUUACCGUAUAGACGACGUAUCUAAAGCGAACCAGCGAUAGUGUGUGUGUGCGUUGAUCUCGUCUCUUUUUGGUUCCGGUGCGUUAAACACAAAAGAAACUGAAACUUCUGCAACUGAGAUCUGCCUAAAGUCACCUGUUUUUUUUCGAGGGUGGGAAAGUGCUCAAUGAUCUACAGAUAGAGCCUUACUCUUUUAUCCUUGUCCUGAUCCUUCUUCUGUUGGUGCUCUUCCAGCCAUACAACUUUUCGGCGACUUUCAUUAAACUUUGACAAAUGUUUUCAGAUGAUUUUCCCUCAGUCAG
This 1092-nucleotide long non-coding RNA is filed under the name Drosophila guanche. The record is from RNAcentral. Lineage: Eukaryota; Metazoa; Arthropoda; Insecta; Diptera; Drosophilidae.